Molecule: long non-coding RNA, 307 nt
Filed under: Phoenix dactylifera (date palm)
Lineage: Eukaryota; Viridiplantae; Streptophyta; Magnoliopsida; Arecales; Arecaceae
Description: long non-coding RNA (PDAC_LNC000431)
Source: RNAcentral
CGGACGCUGGAGGAGAAGGCACGGAUGGACAUGUGGCUGGACGUGGAGGCCAUCAACCUGAAUCCACUGGUCUUCCCCAUCGUCUUCAACCUCUUCGUCCUGCCGGGCCAAGGCGUCGCCGGCAACAUGGCCGAGGCUCAGGCCUCUGCCGAGAAGCUCGACAAAGUGCUCGAAGUCCACGAGCGGCAGCUCUCCAAGACCAAGUACCUGGCCGGCGACGAGUUCACGCUGGCCGACCUGACCCACAUCCCGGCCCUGCGCUACGUGGUCGAGAAUUGCGGCAUGCCCCACCUUAUCAGCAACAAGA